UUUGACUUGCAGGAUUAUUACUGGAAGAAAAUCUAUACAAGUGUGCUUUUCGAUGGCCACGGCAGACUUUUUAAUUUCUUUGAUAAUUCCUUCACUCUUCUGUUUUGGUACAGCUGGGACUGACCUGCUUUGUUCCUUCAUUACAGCGUUUUGCUUAGGUAUUAAUAACAGGAGAAGGAGGCUCUGAUGCUCAAACUCGUCCCUGAAACUCAGCAAGACUUCUCAACUUCAAAUCCCCAGACCAGCCUCAUGGAUUUUAUUUAUGUAUUCAUUUAUUUAUAUGAUUUCUGGUGCUGAGACACGGAUGAAAAAUUAAGACAUAAAUUCAUCAGCAAGACCUAGAGGAGAGCAAGAUUAAAAUUUGAACCCCUGAACUUCCAGGCACCUCCUGCCACAGAAAUAACAAGAUCAUCACUGAACUCCACAAACAAAGGGAGCUCUCUCUCCUCCCCCAACAGCUGGCGAAAAGGCAGGCCUGAGAAUACACAGGCUCAAGACAUCACUCAGAACAUCCCAAACCAAAACAAAAGCAAUGCACCAAACAGCCAAAAACAAACAGAGGUGGGAUCAGAUUCCAGCAAGCCCUGUGGGACAGCAAGCUCAGACUGAGGAAUGGGGCUGACAUGCUGGGGAUUCACUAAAGAAAAGCAGGAGGCAUAGGAGAGAGUUGAGGCUGGUAUCAGAAGAAUGAAACGACCGACCCCUGUGAACCAGAUACCUUACAGAUGUCCUCUCAUUUCAUACUCACAACAGCCUUAUAAAAAAAGCCUUUUUCCUGGGGCACCGACUUCAGACAGUGCUGUUCUUCACCUCAGAGUACUUUCCCUGCCUACACUUCUGACGGAUUCUUCUUGAAUUAUUCCUCAUUUCGAUGUGCCCUCUGAACACUGCUGGGACCCUCACUGACCAGCACAGCAACAUGGGGCAGGCCUGCUCCAGGCUCUGGGUCCCCAACAGUUUUCAGAAGGUACACUUAAGAAAGCCUCUUGGAUGCGCAUGAGAAAGAAUGACAAGGAUAUUUACGGCAGCACUGUUUAUAAUAGCCAUAAAGGUAAGUAACUUAAUAGGGGUCUAAAUAAAUUGUGGUAUAUUUUUACA
This is a non-coding RNA of Delphinapterus leucas (beluga whale), 1098 nucleotides long. The record is from RefSeq and is a predicted model, not a curated record. Lineage: Eukaryota; Metazoa; Chordata; Mammalia; Artiodactyla; Monodontidae.